Molecule: ribosomal RNA, 464 nt
Filed under: uncultured bacterium
Lineage: Bacteria
Description: partial 16S ribosomal RNA
Rfam family: Bacterial small subunit ribosomal RNA
Source: RNAcentral
CUACGGGUCGCUCCAGUGGGGAAUAUUGCACAAUGGGCGCAAGCCUGAUGCAGCCAUGCCGCGUGUAUGAAGAAGGCCUUCGGGUUGUAAAGUACUUUCAGCGGGGAGGAAGGGAGUAAAGUUAAUACCUUUGCUCAUUGACGUUACCCGCAGAAGAAGCACCGGCGAACUCCGUGCCAGCAGCCGCGGUAAUACGGAGGGUGCAAGCGUUAAUCGGAAUUACUGGGCGUAAAGCGCACGCAGGCGGUUUGUUAAGUCAGAUGUGAAAUCCCCGGGCUCAACCUGGGAACUGCAUCUGAUACUGGCAAGCUUGAGUCUCGUAGGGGGGGGUAGAAUUCCAGGUGUAGCGGUGAAAUGCGUAGAGAUCUGGAGGAAUACCGGUGGCGAAGGCGGCCCCCUGGACGAAGACUGACGCUCAGGUGCGAAAGCGUGGGGAGCAAACAGGAUUAGAUACCCCCGUAGUC